AGUGAACGCUGGCGGUAGGCCUAACACAUGCAAGUCGAACGGCAGCACAGUAAGAGCUUGCUCUUACGGGUGGUGAGUGGCGGACGGGUGAGGAAUACAUCGGAAUCUACUUUUUCGUGGGUGAUAACGUAGGGAAACUUACGCUAAUACCGCAUACGACCUACGGGUGAAAGCAGGGGAUCUUCGGACUUUGCGAGAUUGAAUGAUCCGAUGUCGGAUUAGCUAGUUGGCGGGGUAAAGGCCCACCAAGGCGACGAUCCGUAGCUGGGCUGAGAGGAUGAUCAGCCACACUGGAACUGAGACACGGUCCAGACUCCUACGGGAGGCAGCAGUGGGGAAGAUUGGACAAUGGGCGCAAGCCUGAUCCAGCCAUACCGCGUGGGUGAAGAAGGCCUUCGGGUUGUAAAGCCCUUUUGUUGGGAAAGAAAAGCAGCAGGUUAAUACCCCGCUGUUCUGACGGUACCCAAAGAAUAAGCACCGGCUAACUUCGUG
Molecule: ribosomal RNA, 492 nt
Filed under: uncultured bacterium
Lineage: Bacteria
Description: partial 16S ribosomal RNA
Rfam family: Bacterial small subunit ribosomal RNA
Source: RNAcentral